UUCAUCUCUAUAAUUUACUCUAUGAUGUUUUCUUUUUGUUGUGUAAAAUUUUACUGGCUCUCAAUCAUCAAUGUAAAAGGUACAAGUUUUUCAUUUUUUUUCUUGAUUUUUACCAAGUGACAUACAUUCAUUAUCCUUUAUUAUCAUUAUUAUUAUCAAUUAUUCGUCGUUGUUCUGGCUACAAAUUAUAGCUUUCUUUUUUAACUUGAAAUACUAUUACUUUUAUACACCUUUACUGAAAUAGUGAAGUAAUUUGUUUGGUGUCACACCAUUUUGUAGCAUGAGGAAAAUCAGGUUUUCAUGGUCGACAAUUAUUGUUGAUGAAAGCUGAUUUUCGCUAUUCAUUGAUGUUGAUGUAACCACACAAACUCUCACCCACAUGGAAAAGCCAUGGAAAGAGAUGGAAUAACAGUAAUAUAU
RNAcentral lists this long non-coding RNA (420 nucleotides) under Gossypium barbadense (sea-island cotton). Its description in RNAcentral is "long non-coding RNA (GBAR_LNC003629)". Lineage: Eukaryota; Viridiplantae; Streptophyta; Magnoliopsida; Malvales; Malvaceae. The record is from RNAcentral.